ACAUUUGGACAGCUCUGAUACUUGAUCCCGAGAUCUGCUUGAGUGCCACAAGGUAAGAGGGCUUUGCCAACUUACCGAAGCCCC
RNAcentral lists this non-coding RNA (84 nucleotides) under Eutreptiella gymnastica. Lineage: Eukaryota; Euglenozoa; Euglenophyceae; Eutreptiales; Eutreptiaceae. The record is from RNAcentral.